RNAcentral lists this ribosomal RNA (253 nucleotides) under uncultured bacterium. Its description in RNAcentral is "partial 16S ribosomal RNA". It matches the Rfam family "Bacterial small subunit ribosomal RNA", at positions 524 to 776 of the family's 1533-position model. The record is from RNAcentral.
UACGAAGGGGGCUAGCGUUGCUCGGAAUCACUGGGCGUAAAGGGUGCGUAGGCGGGUCUUUAAGCCAGGGGUGAAAUCCUGGAGCUCAACUCCAGAACUGCCUUUGAUACUGAGGAUCUUGAGUUCGGGAGAGGUGAGUGGAACUGCGAGUGUAGAGGUGAAAUUCGUAGAUAUUCGCAAGAACACCAGUGGCGAAGGCGGCUCACUGGCCCGAUACUGACGCUGAGGCACGAAAGCGUGGGGGGCAAACAGG